UGCCAGCAGCCGCGGUAAUACGGAGGGUGCAAGCGUUGCUCGGAAUCACUGGGCGUAAAGCGUACGCAGGUGGCUUGUUAAGUCGGGUGUGAAAUCCCGGAGCUCAACUCCGGAACUGCGCCCGAAACUGGCAGGCUUGAGUACGGGAGAGGGAAGCGGAAUUCCUGGUGUAGAGGUGAAAUUCGUAGAUAUCAGGAGGAACACCAGUGGCGUAAGCGGCUUCCUGGCCCGAUACUGACACUCAGGUACGAAAGCGUGGGUAGCAAACAGGAUUAGAUA
Molecule: ribosomal RNA, 279 nt
Filed under: uncultured bacterium
Lineage: Bacteria
Description: partial 16S ribosomal RNA
Rfam family: Bacterial small subunit ribosomal RNA
Source: RNAcentral